CAAAUAGUUGCCAAUUGACAUGAUUCUUUAUUUAUUUAUUUUUUACCCUUUUUCCAUUGUAGCUAACAAUCGGAUAGCCAUUAACUUGUGUGUUUGUCUAAAUGUAUUUCCCAUAGCAAGUAUAAUGUAAUUUUGUCCUUUUUUUUUCAAGUACUGUAAAGUGAACCCCAUAUUUUACCCUUUAAACAUAUUAUGGAUUCACUUACACAUAUGUUUUAAUUUGAACGAAAGUUCUCCUUAGACCUGAUACCAAAUAUAUAUAUAUAAUUUUUUUUUUUUUUACACUUUUGUAAGCCAUUGAAGUAUUCAUUUCAGCAUGCACCUUACAUGAGGUUAGACCGUCAUAUAUACGCUUCUCUACAUACCUGUAUAUAGUAGUAUAUAGUAUUUUCCCAUUACAUGGCCUGCAUUUCUAAAAUGAUAAUAGUAAUGAAUGCCUAACACAACCUCGCCCUGUCUAACUGGCAGGUCGAUGGACGCUUUCUGACAAAUCUAUUUGGGGCAAAUUGUCAGUGAGAAACUUCCGCCUGAGCUGGCCUGGACAAAACUGGCUGUUGGACGGACUAAAUCCUACUGCAGGAGGGUCGGGACAAUAGGCUCUGAAUGUGUUGAUGUGCUGGCAGUGGCUUGGGCCUGACAAUGGCCGGAUUAAUUGGUCCCUUGGCUGACUGAUUUGAGAUGGCUUCACUCGGGUCCUCUCCAUGGGGAGCCCCAUUGUCCUUCUCCUGAUUCCCACUUUUCACAAACUCCAAACAAAAGUCAAUUUCUUUCUCAAGGGGGUUUGGAAGAAGAGGAGAAAUAUCGAGACCUCGUGGUUCAGCUUCGCGAGAGGCCCAGAGCUCCUCCUGAGACUUAGAGGUGUUAUCAUCAGCGGGACAGGAGAGAGGUUGUCGUCCUGUAUGCGGAGAGGAUCUGAGGCACCUGUUGAGAGCGCUGUCAGGCCGAGCCGAGGAGCUCGCUCUCAUUAAUAUUAAAACAUCAGAGAUGCCAUCAUGUUGCUGCGCUGAAAUCGGUCUGAUGUUGUCCCCCCCACCGACUCGGCUCCCUGGAGACCAACUCUCCGCUUCCACAGUCAAUCACGAAGGGCGCCCCCUCUAUCCUCUCUCUGCCUGUCUCUUUUUUUCUGUCCUCUCAUUAUCAUUCUGCUUUUUUGAAAGGCCUCGUUAACAAAUUAUGACAGCUGGCUAAAGAGGCUUUGGCCGUUCACACCAUUUCAGCAAACAGUUUAGGGGCACGAUAUGACAAACUUUAUUCUGCUGUGACAUCAAGUUUCCUUUAUUUGUUUGCACACUCUAAUUUGUCUCUUCAG
This 1309-nucleotide long non-coding RNA is filed under the name Carassius auratus (goldfish). Its description in RNAcentral is "lncRNA (ENSCARG00000035070.1)". The record is from RNAcentral. Lineage: Eukaryota; Metazoa; Chordata; Actinopteri; Cypriniformes; Cyprinidae.